This 529-nucleotide ribosomal RNA is filed under the name uncultured bacterium. RNAcentral's name for it is "bacterial SSU rRNA". It matches the Rfam family "Bacterial small subunit ribosomal RNA", at positions 777 to 1304 of the family's 1533-position model. The record is from RNAcentral.
AAUAGAUACCCGGGUAGUCCACGCCGUAAACGAUGAGUGCUAAGUGUUAGGGGGUUUCCGCCCCUUAGUGCUGCAGCUAACGCAUUAAGCACUCCGCCUGGGGAGUAUGGCCGCAAGGCUGAAACUCAAAGGAAUUGACGGGGGCCCGCACAAGCGGUGGAGCAUGUGGUUUAAUUCGAAGCAACGCGAAGAACCUUACCAGGUCUUGACAUCUCCUGACCGCCCUGGAGACAGGGUCUUCCCUUCGGGGACAGGAUGACAGGUGGUGCAUGGUUGUCGUCAGCUCGUGUCGUGAGAUGUUGGGUUAAGUCCCGCAACGAGCGCAACCCUUGUCCUUAGUUGCCAGCAUUCAGUUGGGCACUCUAAGGAGACUGCCGGCUAAAAGUCGGAGGAAGGUGGGGAUGACGUCAAAUCAUCAUGCCCCUUAUGACCUGGGCUACACACGUGCUACAAUGGGCGGUACAGAGGGUCGCGAACCCGCGAGGGGGAGCCAAUCCCAAAAAAACCCGCUCUCAGUUCGGAUUGCAGG